This 664-nucleotide ribosomal RNA is filed under the name uncultured Curvibacter sp. Its description in RNAcentral is "bacterial SSU rRNA". It matches the Rfam family "Bacterial small subunit ribosomal RNA", at positions 8 to 667 of the family's 1533-position model. Lineage: Bacteria; Pseudomonadati; Pseudomonadota; Betaproteobacteria; Burkholderiales; Comamonadaceae. The record is from RNAcentral.
AGAGUUUGAUCCUGGCUCAGAUUGAACGCUGGCGGCAUGCCUUACACAUGCAAGUCGAACGGCAGCACGGGAGCAAUCCUGGUGGCGAGUGGCGAACGGGUGAGUAAAGUAUCGGAACGUGCCCAGUCGUGGGGGAUAACGUAGCGAAAGUUACGCUAAUACCGCAUACGAUCUAUGGAUGAAAGCGGGGGAUCGAAAGACCUCGCGCGAUUGGAGCGGCCGAUAUCAGAUUAGGUAGUUGGUGGGGUAAAGGCUCACCAAGCCGACGAUCUGUAGCUGGUCUGAGAGGACGACCAGCCACACUGGGACUGAGACACGGCCCAGACUCCUACGGGAGGCAGCAGUGGGGAAUUUUGGACAAUGGGCGCAAGCCUGAUCCAGCCAUGCCGCGUGCAGGAUGAAGGCCUUCGGGUUGUAAACUGCUUUUGUACGGAACGAAAAGGUUUGGCCUAAUAAGCUGAGCUCAUGACGGUACCGUAAGAAUAAGCACCGGCUAACUACGUGCCAGCAGCCGCGGUAAUACGUAGGGUGCGAGCGUUAAUCGGAAUUACUGGGCGUAAAGCGUGCGCAGGCGGUUAUGUAAGACAGAUGUGAAAUCCCCGGGCUCAACCUGGGAACUGCAUUAGUGACUGCAUAGCUGGAGUACGGCAGAGGGGGAUGGAAU